This 676-nucleotide long non-coding RNA is filed under the name Manihot esculenta (cassava). RNAcentral describes it as "long non-coding RNA (MESC_LNC004316)". Lineage: Eukaryota; Viridiplantae; Streptophyta; Magnoliopsida; Malpighiales; Euphorbiaceae. The record is from RNAcentral.
CAGAACUUGAAUCAUCAAACAUGCAUGUAGUAACAAUCACAGGAAUUCUCAGGAGCAAUACAUGGAGGCAACUCGACGAGGAAGGAGAUGCCGCAAAGUGUAGCCGAUCAUUGGCGAGAGAAAGCAGAAGUUAUCGAUACGUGUAUGGUUUCAAAGAUGUCAAUAUCGAUACCAAAGGAGUCCUUUCCGUCAGCAAAUAUAUACUAGUCAACUCUUGCUAGGUCUCAAAGCAAAUUUCUCUCGCUGAACUCGAUAAUGAUUUAGAGAACGAAAAUAAGAAAAGCAAAAAAUAAAAAAUUAUCAAAACACACAACACCGUCUUACCACGGCGAGGGAUGACUAUGGAGGACAGAAACCACAAUCUGUUCCUGGACAAGAAAAACAAGAACAAAACUUUAAAAAAAAUCAAGAAAAACUAAGAAAAGCGAGAUUAGCAGAAACCCGAACCCUCCCUAAUAUGCCAACGAAGAGUCAAACUGCCAAAUUGCAAUUACCCUUCUCCUUUUCUCUAUGCACUCUUACCUUCUCUCUUUUUUACUUAUCAUUAUGCAUCUAAUUCUACUUGAGUCUAUCAGCGAGAAGUGUGUUCAUUCUUAUUUAGAAAAUCAAAUUCCCAUUGAUUAUGUACACGUGCUUUUGAAACUUUGACUUAUUUAAGCUACUCGGUAAUGUUACC